AACGCAUAUUGCGCCUGCGCCUCGGCAAAGGCAUGUCUGCCUCAGCGUCGGUUUACCCCCUCCAAUCUUACUCCUCUUCUUUGCAGAGAAGAGAGACAGAAGAUUGGGACGUGACCUUCCCUUUCUCUGGGUUGGUUGAAAUCGAUGCCCGUGCCCACCAUCCAAACGAAGGCACAGAAAGGUAGGCCGCUUCAUCAAGCGGCUCUGCCCCUGUGAUCUUCGGGUGAGUGCUCGGGUGACACAGGAAUGCGUCUCUUCCCUUCAUCUAAAGAAGGAGAGAUGUUCAAACAUCUGACCUGAGCUCAGGCAAGACCACCCGCUGAACUUAA
This 329-nucleotide unclassified non-coding RNA is filed under the name uncultured fungus. RNAcentral describes it as "partial contains 5.8S ribosomal RNA, internal transcribed spacer 2, and large subunit ribosomal RNA". Lineage: Eukaryota; Fungi. The record is from RNAcentral.